This 247-nucleotide long non-coding RNA is filed under the name Dromaius novaehollandiae (emu). RNAcentral's name for it is "lncRNA (ENSDNVG00000014831.1)". Lineage: Eukaryota; Metazoa; Chordata; Aves; Casuariiformes; Dromaiidae. The record is from RNAcentral.
AAUUACGCUCUUUAAAGCUUGGUGCAUUAUUUGGAUAGAUGGAUAGAUAUCUUCUCCUAAUAUGCUGACUAAAGACAUGAGUACGUUGGCAUUUUGGGAUCUGUAGAAGAUGAAGCGGGGGAAGAGGGUCACACAGUUCAAUAGACUCCUUGAGCACAUGCCAAACUAGAAAUGUGAAGAACCUCAGUACUACUGAUUCAGCGACUGAACCCAAAUGCCCCCUCCUAGUUUUUCCUGAAGAGUGGGG